This 432-nucleotide ribosomal RNA is filed under the name uncultured bacterium. RNAcentral's name for it is "bacterial SSU rRNA". It matches the Rfam family "Bacterial small subunit ribosomal RNA", at positions 30 to 409 of the family's 1533-position model. The record is from RNAcentral.
AUUGAACGCUGGCGGCAUGCCUUACACAUGCAAGUCGAACGUGAAAGCGGGGCAACCCGCAAGUAGAGUGGCGGACGGGUGAGUAAUACAUCGGAACGUGUCCAGUAAUGGGGGAUAACCUAGCGAAAGUUAGGCUAAUACCGCAUACGAUCUGCGGAUGAAAGCGGGGGAUGCGGCACUAAAAGCUUUUGGUGAAGGUCGCCAAAGGCAGGUCAAGAGCUUUUAGUGCUGCACCUCGCGUUAUUGGAGCGGCUGAUGUCUGAUUAGCUAGUUGGUGAGGUAAAGGCUUACCAAGGCGACGAUCAGUAGCUGGUCUGAGAGGACGGCCAGCCACACUGGGACUGAGACACGGCCCAGACUCCUACGGGAGGCAGCAGUGGGGAAUUUUGGACAAUGGGGGCAACCCUGAUCCAGCCAUGUCGCGUGAGUGAA